RNAcentral lists this ribosomal RNA (485 nucleotides) under uncultured bacterium. RNAcentral describes it as "partial 16S ribosomal RNA". It matches the Rfam family "Bacterial small subunit ribosomal RNA", at positions 30 to 507 of the family's 1533-position model. The record is from RNAcentral.
UUGAACGCUGGCGGCAUGCCUUGCACAUGCAAGUCGAGCGGCAGCACGGGUGCUUGCACCUGGUGGCGAGUGGCGAACGGGUGAGUAAUACAUCGGAACAUGUCCUGUAGUGGGGGAUAGCCCGGCGAAAGCCGGAUUAAUACCGCAUACGAUCUACGGAUGAAAGCGGGGGACCUUCGGGCCUCGCGCUAUAGGGUUGGCCGAUGGCUGAUUAGCUAGUUGGUGGGGUAAAGGCCUACCAAGGCGACGAUCAGUAGCUGGUCUGAGAGGACGACCAGCCACACUGGGACUGAGACACGGCCCAGACUCCUACGGGAGGCAGCAGUGGGGAAUUUUGGACAAUGGGCGAAAGCCUGAUCCAGCAAUGCCGCGUGUGUGAAGAAGGCCUUCGGGUUGUAAAGCACUUUUGUCCGGAAAGAAAUCCUUGGCCCUAAUACGGUCGGGGGAUGACGGUACCGGAAGAAUAAGCACCGGCUAACUACGUG